AACUUAGCUUGGGCUGAGAAAGUAACAAACUGCCUAGCCUUUCAUCUGGAUGAAUAACAGAGUCAAAUAAAGCCAGACGACGUUAAGAGGAAACAAUGUUUGACAUACGGCAACGGAAAAGUAUUACCCCUUUGAAGACAGGGUCUUGAACGCCUAGCCUCAAGUGAUCCUACUGCCUCCACCUCCCAAAGUGUUGAAAUUACCGGCCUGAGCCACUGUGUCUGGCUCCUAUGUUGUCCUUAUAAGAACACCAUGUGAAGAUACAGAGACACACAGGGAAAAAGCCCAUGCGAAGACAGAGACAGAGACUGAAGUGCUGCAGCUACAAGCCAAAGAAUGCUGAGGAUUGCUGGCAACCACCAGAAGCUAGGGGAGAGGCAUGUGUGGUUUCUGCUGCAGACCCUCCAGAAGGAACUAACCCUGCUGACACCUUGAUUUAGGAGUGCUGGCUUCCUGAAUUGUGAGAGAAUAAAUUUCUGUUCUUUAAAGCCA
Molecule: long non-coding RNA, 492 nt
Organism: Gorilla gorilla gorilla (western lowland gorilla)
Lineage: Eukaryota; Metazoa; Chordata; Mammalia; Primates; Hominidae
Exons: 2
Source: RefSeq, a predicted model, not a curated record